GACGUAGGGCGCGAGCGUUGUCCGGAUUUAUUGGGCGUAAAGAGCUCGUAGGCGGCUUGUCGCGUCGUCCGUGAAAACCUGCAGCUCAACUGCAGGCUUGCGGUCGAUACGGGCAGGCUAGAGUUCGGUAGGGGAGACUGGAAUUCCUGGUGUAGCGGUGAAAUGCGCAGAUAUCAGGAGGAACACCGGUGGCGAAGGCGGAUCUCUGGGCCAUUACUGACGCUGAGGAGCGAAAGCGUGGGGAGCGAACAGG
RNAcentral lists this ribosomal RNA (253 nucleotides) under uncultured bacterium. RNAcentral describes it as "partial 16S ribosomal RNA". It matches the Rfam family "Bacterial small subunit ribosomal RNA", at positions 524 to 776 of the family's 1533-position model. The record is from RNAcentral.